Conger conger (European conger) is the source of this 758-nucleotide long non-coding RNA. RefSeq lists it as uncharacterized. The record is from RefSeq and is a predicted model, not a curated record. Lineage: Eukaryota; Metazoa; Chordata; Actinopteri; Anguilliformes; Congridae. The transcript has 3 exons.
AGAACAUCCCUGGAACAUUAUGAAAGGUGAAAGUUUCUCUUUCGCUAUUGCAGGCUAUUCCUGUUUGGAAGCCGAAGUCCGCUAUUCAUGAGAACACUGAAUAGACAGAGACUGAGGAGUGGAGAUCGGGGCAUCGAGUCCAGCCUUCAUCAGCCUCGCCUGAGGGUUUAAACUGUGGUUAUGUAGUGGGGCAUGAGUGCAUUCUGGUCAUCCUCAAUUACACCACCUGUUACCUUGGUUGUAUGUAGAUUGUCCGGCAAGACAAUGACUCCAAACAUGCAUCAAAAUCCACACAGAAUUGGUUAAGUGAAAGGGACAUUACGGUACAUUAUUGGCAUUUGGCAGACGCUCUUAUCCAGAGCGACGUACAGUUGAUUAGACUAAGCAGGAGACAAUCCUCCCCUGGAGCAAUGCAGGGUUAUGGGCCUUGCUUAAGGGCCCAACAGCUGUGCAGAUCUUAUUGUGGCUACACCGGGAUUAGAACCACCGACCUUGCAUGUGAAAAAUCACUCAGAACUGGACUGUGUAACCCUAUCACAAAUGUAUCACGGUAAAUGUCCUCAUACAUUUUUUAUUUCACUUAUGCUGUGGAAUAAACAUGAUUACUUAACUGUCUGAAUGUGAAAAUGAGCAUUUUUGCAUUUUUCUAAAUGUUAUGCAUUUUCUACAUUUUAUGUCUAUAGUCAUCUAUUUUGCUGAUUUACCAGUGAUAUCAUUUCAUUAUUACAAAUGUUGCCAAAAUAUUUUAUUUAUUUCAC